Molecule: ribosomal RNA, 497 nt
Filed under: uncultured bacterium
Lineage: Bacteria
Description: partial 16S ribosomal RNA
Rfam family: Bacterial small subunit ribosomal RNA
Source: RNAcentral
GAUGAACGCUGGCGGCGUGCCUAAUACAUGCAAGUCGAGCGAACAGACGAGGAGCUUGCUCCUCUGACGUUAGCGGCGGACGGGUGAGUAACACGUGGAUAACCUACCUAUAAGACUGGGAUAACUUCGGGAAACCGGAGCUAAUACCGGAUAAUAUAUUGAACCGCAUGGUUCAAUAGUGAAAGACGGUUUUGCUGUCACUUAUAGAUGGAUCCGCGCCGCAUUAGCUAGUUGGUAAGGUAACGGCUUACAAAGGCAACGAUGCGUAGCCGACCUGAGAGGGUGCUCGGCCACACUAGAACUGAGACACGGUCCAGACUCCUACGGGAGGCAGCAGUAGGGAAUCUUCCGCAAUGGGCGAAAGCCUGACGGAGCAACGCCGCGUGAGUGAUGAAGGUCUUCGGAUCGUAAAACUCUGUUAUUAGGGAAGAACAAAUGUGUAAGUAACUAUGCACGUCUUGACGGUACCUAAUCAGAAAGCCACGGCUAACUACGUG